This 6885-nucleotide long non-coding RNA is filed under the name Cicer arietinum (chickpea). RNAcentral's name for it is "long non-coding RNA (CARI_LNC003061)". Lineage: Eukaryota; Viridiplantae; Streptophyta; Magnoliopsida; Fabales; Fabaceae. The record is from RNAcentral.
AAACGCAAGUUAGGCUGUUGAAUCACCGAAAACGCAAGAAUGGCGCCACAAUCUAGGGAUUGAUAAGCCAAAAAGAACGCAACACAAAAAUAGUAUUCCAAAUUUGCCUUAAAAAAAAAUAAGGGUUUGCCUUUUAUAGUGGCAACUCCUUACAAGUUCUCUAAAUUUGACCCAACUAAAGUUAUUUAGAACCUCCUUCGCCUUCUUUGACCUUGCUCUUGUCAUUGGAGUUCGAAGACCUUGAAUAUCCUCUAGGCUUCCUUCCUUGGUUAUGCAUUCUAUGUCCUCAUCACAAGAGAAGGUCAAAAUCAGAAAGGUAAAGUAGUGUUUAGAUCUAUUUUAAAAAAGUGAUUUGUAUUCAUCUAGAAAAAAAAAAGGGAUUCUCAGCUUUUGUUGAUGAACAGCAUUUCUUCGCGGCCGUUUUGCAUUAUUUUUCUUCACUCUGUUAGAACAGAGAAUAACUACAUUUCCGUUUUUUUAUUCCUUGAUGGUAUCUUUUGAUCCAAAUAGUCCAUUCUACGUAAUGGUACUUAUGCCUUAGUUAUCAAAGAAGUUAAUCUAGUCAGAAAUUUCAAUUUUAAAUUCAAGCAGCCUGUUUCUAGAAGCUGAGCUGUCCAAAUCUGUUGGCAUAUUCCCCACUUUUGGUGGAGAUGGUUGUAACUAAAUUCUGUUCAUAUAGCCUUUUGAGCUAAAUGAAAAGUACAAUCAGAAUUCAAUCAAUACUCUAUCUUUUAUUCAGUCUCAGUUUAACAAUUGUUCAUCAUCACUGAGUUCUAUUCAAUCAUUAGAGCUUAUUUAGUGAACUAGGAUCGUUAAUGGUUCUCCCUAACAAUCCAAAUCGGUCUCAUUCUAUUUAGUGGGAAUAGACUUUUGUGUUGUUAUCGUCUUUGUUGUGUUACAGGAUUGUUUUGCCGGAGGGUAUUACAAACUUUGGAAUGAUUGCCUGGUUUUAUUAAGCUCGUCUGGUAAUUAGCUUGAACCAAUGCUUGAUGUGUCUACAUGUUAUAUGAAACCAUUUUUCUCAACUUUCCUAUGUUCCAGUUGAUUACCGUAUUUGCUUCAACUAAAUGAACUAUUAAGACAUUUUUAUCUUAUCAUGUUUUUUCCCCCAUGUAUUUGCAUGUUGUGGCCUCUGAAUCAUUGCAGAAAAUGCCAACCAUACAAGUAAGCACCAUUGUAUUUUAUUUGAUAAGUUUGUUGUAUUCUUCUUUGGCUGGUGAUUAAAAUGUUUCCUUUGCAGCUAUGGAAAGACAGCAAGAAACAAGCUGAAGUCAUUGGUGGGAAUAAAGCAUAUUUGGUAAUAAAUGAGGUUCAGGAGAUGAUUGAGAAUGAGUGCACUGUGAGUUUUUAGUGCAACAGGCAUUUUAUGCGAUUUUAAUAUACCGUUAAAUGAUUUUAGGUAACUUUUUUUCCAAAAAAUGAAGCGAUAAAAAACCCAGUUCAAAUGUAUAUAAUUGGAAAGGAAUUGGAACAUGAAAAAGAGAAACGAGAAAAAAAAACUCCUGAAAUAGUUUUUCCUUCAACAAAAGGUUUCCUUUUCACACAAAUUAGUGAUUCGAGUGAUUCCUUCCAUUUCAAUUUCUCCCAUUUAUCGUUUCAAACUCAGUUUUGCAGGUCUGUUUCUGUUUUGCAUCAAAUGUAUUUAAAAGUAAUUUCACUAUGAAUUUCAUUUUUAUUAUUAAGUAUGAAAGGAAGUAACUACUUGUUAGAUGAUGACAAAUUUGAGGUUUGAAUUCCGAAGUAAGAGCAGACAAGGUUAUGCACUUGACGUAACAUGUCUAAGUCCAUCCAGAAUGAAACUUCCUUCGUGUGGGUGCUUAAGUGGGUUGCAUCAUAUAUAUUAUUCAUUUAUAAUUUUUCAAGGGUUAAAUAUGUUUUUAUACUUUAUGAAUAUAUUAUAUUUUGUUUUUAGUCUUUCUAAAAUUUCAAUUCAAACAAUAGUUUCAUAAAUAUUUUCCAUCAAUAAUUUUGAUCAUUGCUUUUAAUUUAACUCAUGUAUAUUGUUUGAAUUUUUAAAUAAUUUUUUGCGUACAUAUUUAGAAUAUCAUAAGAAUCUCUCACAAAAAUUUAGAUUUUUUAUUCAUCGGAGAGGACCCCUACAACAAUAGAAUGCAUUGCUACAUGAUAGACUAAUUUUUUCUACGGUUAGAUUUAAUCAUCCACCAUAUCUUAUCAUGUGCUAUCCACACAAAAUCUAACCCUUCAACUUUGACAUGGUUUUCCCUCUCUAUUUCUCUUCCCCAUCCCCACCGGUUAUCCACAUCAACCUUGUUACACUUUGUUGAUUCUUUCAUUUUUAUAUCACAACAUUCAAGAUAACUUGUUCAAGCCAAGUGAUCAGACCAUCAUCAUUGACUCUCAUUAUCAUUACCUCAUCAAAUAAGAUAUAGGAAAAUAAAUCAAGCUUUUGAAGAAGCAACUAGAAGAACUGACCAUGUUACUAUGUUAAUGAUGUUGCUCCUAAUCGCUUCAAAGAAAACCAAUUAACUAAACCAUUGUAAUGUAUAUGCUGAUUUGACCUUGACUAAUUGCCAAUUGGAGAUGUUGAUUGCUAAUUGAAAAAUGACGGAGAAGGAAUUAUAUGGUAAUAAUUGUUUAAUAAAAAACAGUUAAAUUUUUCUGGGUAUAAACUUUUUUUUGUGAAAAAAAAAGAAAUUGCUUGUUAAAAAGAGGUCUAUUUGUAUGUGUCAUGACUCAAUCAAAGCAAACAUAAAUUGAGAUGAGAUGCUGCAGCAGGGAACAAUUUGAGCGCUAAUACAUGUCGACGAGGUAACAGUGGUGUGGUAGCCGAAGUCCAUGACGUGAUCUGUUUGAUUUGGACAACAGUGGUGUGCCGGAGGAGUAAAUUGAAAUGUUAUGUGUUGUAUUUCUCUUUGUUUAGAUCCAUGAAAGGUAAACAAUCUAGAACUGAUGUGGUUGCUUAAAGGGGAAAGUAUAGAUUGAGUGUAGAUGAUGUAUUAUAACAUUGUGAAGUAUAUAAAUGAAUCUACAUUGUUGAAAUUAUUUAAUUAUAUAUCUACGGUUAAAACAAAUUGGUCCAAAAUUGACCAUUCUUUUUCCUGCUGCAAAUUAUUGGCAGCCUUGAUGUAAUUAGAUCAGUUUUUGGGUUGAUUAAGUACUGAUUUUAACAAAUUUUGAGACCGAGUUUAGCACAAUUUUGGGACUAUUUUUAGAUCAAUUCUGGGACUGAUUUUAGCAGGUUUGAGACUGAUUUUAGAUCAGUUUUGGGAUUGAUUUUGUAAUUGAUUUUAGAACAAUUCUGGAACUGUUUUUUGACUCAUUUUGGGACUCAUUUAAGCGGGUUUGGGGCUGACUGACUAUACAUAAAAUUUGGGACUAAUUUCGUGACUGAUAUUGAGACAGUUUUUUUAAUCAGUUUUGGAACUGAUUUAAGCAGGUUUUGGACUGAUUUUAGCGUAGUUGACUAAAUCAAAAUAUCACCAUUAGAACCAAUAUACUUGAGACUAAAUCAAAUUAGAACCAAGACACCUGGGAGUAGGACUGUGCAAAAAAACCGGUUUUGAGACCCAAAUCCAAAACCAAAUCCAAAACCAUUUUUAAUAACCGGUUAAAAUAAUAUGGAUAUAAACCGGUUUAUUUAAAACCGGUUGGAUAACCACCCACAUUUUAUUUUUGGAUUUGGAUUUAAACCAGAUUUUAUCAACUCAAUUCCCAAAUUCCAAUCUCAGAACCCUAAAUCCCCAAAACCCUCAAAAGCAUUUUUCGGCAGCGUUUCCCGGCAAUCUUUCCUUCUGGCAAACCGACAUUCCAUCUUUGAAGCACCUUCCUUCCUUCUUUCUCAAACGUUUACAUUUGGUUCGUUUCUAUUCAUCCUUACUAAGUUUUUUCUCUUGUUUAUUCUUCUUAGUUUCUUCGUUUCUAUUCGUUUUGUUGUUGCUUGAAAAUCAAAUUCCUAUGUUUGUAUUAGAGGAAUUACACAAAAGGGUGUUAUUAGAUUAUGGUAGCGACAAUGAAAAUGAAAAAUGUGUUAGUUUUAUUGAGCUUGCUUUUAAUUACUUUGAAAAUGAAUGUUCUCAAUGACCAUAACCUUAUUGAUGAUUUUGCAGUCUAUUGAAAAGAGUGGGGAUAGGGGUUGUAAGAGUAUACCAAUUCUAUUGCUUUAAAGAAUGAAAAUGAUCUUUAAGAGAUAGGGGUUGUUAAAGACCCAUCAAAAUAUAUUAGGGGAUCUUUAAGAGAUGCAACCAACAUUUCUAUUGCUUUAAAGAAUGAAAAUGAUGUAUACAAUAAGUACAUUGAAUUAAACUACUACACACUUUAACGGUCUAUUGGUUAUGCAUGUGAAUUAACAUGUAUAGUUUACUUGAGGCUAGCAGAGUUAUGGUAUUGAUAUUCUUUCCAAUUUCUUUAUAAGACCAACAACUAUGUGAACAUAGUUUCAAAUAUUCAGAGCAACAUAGUGUCAUAGUUUUUCUUCAGUUUCAAAUCAAAAAGCUUUUUAUUGAGUGGCAGAGGCAAAGAGACCUAGUUUACUGUAAUCAAGUAAGUUGUUUCAUGCUUAUUUCAAUAACAUUAUUGUGCAAAGGAAAAUGACAUUUAUGUUUUCUCUCCUCUAACAAUAGAGAAAUUUAUUGUGCUCUGUACUACAAGAUUCCAAUUCUACAUUGACUUACGUAGCAAUAGCAUUAGGACUUUGGUGGCAAUUGAGAAAGUUAAUAUACUUUCUCAAAUCAUAUAUUGAGAUAAUUUGUAAAGUAAAAGCAGUAAAGGCACUGAUAAUGCUACGUGCAAGAAUGUUUCUAAAGAGAGAUAAAUGGGUUUGGGUUUCCUUUUCAAAUAUGGCCCCAAGAGAACAAAGUGCCCAAACAACAUCUCUUUGUUAUUUAUUAAUUUUAGUAUUAGUUUUUUGAAAUAUAUUUCAUGUCAUCUAAACAAGUUAACACACACAAUUAUGCCAUGAAUACAUACAUUUCUUUGUAAAUUCAAUUAAGUGCUGAAUACCAACAAAAAUAGGCACUUGGCAAGUUCAUAUGAGAUCAUUGUAAUUACGGUUUUUAAAGCUUUGGCUUUCAAAAAUACAAUAGUUUGAUUCAUAGAAUAAGGAAGCGUGUUGGUUCUUUACACCUUGAACAUUAGUUUGAAUUAUGCAUGUGGAUUUGUACCUUGAACAUUUUAAGUUCAUUAACUAUCUUCAUUAUUAUUGCAGCAACCUGUAACAUUACAUCAAGAUGGGUGAUCAAUCUGAGACAGUAAAUUUGUUUGUUUCUCCUCCACCAAUUGUCCCAAACACAACUACAAUGUUACCACCUAGAACCAAAGGUCGUAAAAACCAAUCGUUUGUUUGGAAUGAUUUCACAGUAGAUCCUAACUUGGAUGGGACAUCUAUUUGCAACCAUUGUAGCAAGAAGCUCAAGUGUGAUAAUGGGACGAGUUCGAUGAUACAACAUUCAAAGGGAUGUAAGAAAAACCCCAAUAACGAGUUUAACCAGAGGAAGAGAACAUUGGAUGCAAUGAAUGUUGAAGGUCAUACUAUUUCUUCCCCUUCAGUGCCUAGGUUUGAUCAAGAAAAAUUACGAUAUUUACUCGUGAAGAUGUUUAUAGGCAUGGAAUUGCCUUUUCGAAAAGUGGAGCAUCCAAAUUUUCAAGAAUUUGUAAGUGGCUUAAAUCCAAAAUUCAAUCUUAUAUCACGCACUACACUUGCACGCGAUACUUUGUUGCAACAUGAAUUAACGAUCUGCACACGGACAACUGAUUCAUUCAAGUGUAGGAGUAGAAAAUAAGCAAACCAUAGUUGGGUCUGUUUGGAUUGACUUAUGUGAACUUAUUUAUUGAGAUAUGCACUUGUGAGACUAUUUGGAAGACGUUAUGGAAACAACUUAUAACAUCCUUAAGCCUUUUUUAGCUUAUUUCCAUAAGCUCUCAAAGAUAGCUUAUGAAAACAACUUGAAUCAUAUAUGAUAACAGUUUGACUUUAGUUUAUCUUUUGUUAUAGAAAUAACUUAUACAUAAGCUCUUAUAUAAUAAACGCUUAUGCUAAAAGAAAUUAAUUAGGUUGUUCAUCCAAACAAGUUGUCUUAAACGGGCCCGACAGAGACCUAAUAAGACGAAGUCUUGACUUAUUUUACCUGAUCUAGCCAUUUUUCAAGACUCGAGAUCUAGCUUUUGCUUUUCAAAUCUUUGUCUUAUCUUGAGAUAUAUUUUGCCUACUCUGCAAUAAGGCCUUUACACAAUCCAACAAUUCUACUUCUAUAAAAACUGAUUGACUCUGAAAUAAGCUAAAGGGUUUAUGCCUUUUAAUAGGUCAACAAGUGAAUGAUUUUAGGAAAUUACAAUACAAAUCUAACAUGGGUUUUUGUUUCAGAUACACAAUUUUUUCAAACAUAUUUUAGUUGUUUGUAUGAUACUGCAUAACCAAUUCAACCUGCCCAUUUGUUACCCAUUCACGGCCACAAUUCACACUAACACAACCAAGUACCAACCUCACCACCUACCCCAUAAUGGAUCAAGAGGGCAAGAUGAUAUGACCCUGGAUUUUUCUAGGUUGAAAACUUACAGAUUUGAGUCAAAAUCGCGUAUUGUUGGAGAACACGAUAAACAGAACUACGAAACUCCGAAUCGGACGAUUUCAAAACGAGGUGAAAGACGACGUUCUGAAACGCAAGUUAGGCUGUUGAAUCACCGAAAACGUAAGAAUGGCGCCACAAUCUAGGGAUUGAUAAGCCAAAAAGAACGCAACACAAAAAUAGUAUUCCAAAUUUGCCUUAAAAAAAAAUAAGGGUUUGCCUUUUAUAGUGGCAACUCCUUACAAGUUCUCUAAAUUUGACCCAACUGAAGUUAUUUAGAACCUCCUUCGCCUUCUUUGACCUUGCUCUUGUCAUUGGAGUUCGAAGACCUUGAAUAUCCUCUAGGCUUCCUUCCUUGGUUAUG